This 468-nucleotide ribosomal RNA is filed under the name uncultured bacterium. RNAcentral describes it as "partial 16S ribosomal RNA". It matches the Rfam family "Bacterial small subunit ribosomal RNA", at positions 28 to 507 of the family's 1533-position model. The record is from RNAcentral.
GACGAACGCUGGCGGCGUGCUUAACACAUGCAAGUCGAACGGAAAGGCCCUGCUUUUGUGGGGUGCUCGAGUGGCGAACGGGUGAGUAACACGUGAGUAACCUGCCCUUGACUUUGGGAUAACUUCAGGAAACUGGGGCUAAUACCGGAUAGGAGCUCCUGCUGCAUGGUGGGGGUUGGAAAGUUUCGGCGGUUGGGGAUGGACUCGCGGCUUAUCAGCUUGUUGGUGGGGUAGUGGCUUACCAAGGCUUUGACGGGUAGCCGGCCUGAGAGGGUGACCGGCCACAUUGGGACUGAGCGACGGCCCAGCCUCCUACGGGAGGCAGCAGUGGGGAAUAUUGCACAAUGGGCGGAAGCCGGAUGCAGCAACGCCGCGUGCGGGAUGACGGCCUUCGGGUUGUAAACCGCUUUCGCCUGUGACGAAGCGUGAGUGACGGUAAUGGGUAAAGAAGCCCCGGCUAACUACGUG